GAGGGGGUAAGGGGGCGCGGCCGGAGGCGGGGCGCAGCGCGGCGCGGGAGGCGGGGCCUGAGGAGGGCGCGGCGCGGCGCGGGAGGCGGGCCCCGGGCUCCGGAGAGCUGCCCCGCGCUGCUGCCCCCGCCUCGGCGCUUGGUUCCCUGCGUGAGUGGCGCGUCCCCGGGCCUGAGCUCCCCGGGGAGGGGCGGCUUGUGCGCCCCCAGGCUUCCGGCGCUGGGAGAUUUGCGGGGCCCUUCUUUAAAAGACCCGGAUGUUGGCAGUGUCGCGGGCACCCCGUGAGUGGGCAAAUCGGAAGGGUUCGCAAUGGACAGCGGCUUUGCCUGCACCUUACCUCGGGCGCCUUUCUUCCGACCCCUUUCCCCCGUAUCGGGGGUGUGGGCUGUGACACGUGUGUGUCUGGUGUGGCGUGGUGUGAGGUGUGAGGCGUGUGUGAUGUGAGGCACGUGAAGUGUGUGUGUGGUGUGAGACGAGUGUGUUUGUGCAGGUUUGUGGUAUGUGAGGUGUGAAGUGUGUGUGAGAUGUGUGGUGUGUGAGGUGUGUCUGGUGUGAGGCACGUGAAGUGUGUGUGGUGUGUGAGACAUGUGGUUGUGUGUAUGGUGUGAGGCGUGUGUGUUUGUGGUGGUUGAGGUGUGGCCAGUGUGAGGUGUGCUUGUGGUGAGGUGUGUGGUUGUGUGUGAGGUGUGUUUGGUGUGUGUUGUGUGCGGUGUGAAAUGUGUCUUGUCUGAAGUGUGUGAGGCGUGUGGUGUGUCAGGUAUGUGGUGUGUGAGGUGUGUGGUGUGUGAGGUGUGUGUAAGGUUUGGUGUGAAAUGUAUCUUGUCUGAGGUGGGUGUGGUGUGAGUGUGAGGCUGUGGUGUGUGUUUGUGGUUUGUGUGUGGCGUGUGAGCUGUGUGCUGUGACGCGUGUGUGCAAUGAUGGAGUGUGUGUGUGUGUGUGUGGUGUGUGAGGCGUGUGCUGUGAGGUGUGUCUGGUUUGUGUGCUGUGGUUUCUGACUGGUGUGUGUGUGUGAUGUCUAGUGUGAGACGUGUGUUCUGUGAUGUCGCGUGUGAUUAUGGAGUGUGUGUGUGUGGUGUGUGAGGUGUGUGCUGUGAGGCGUGUGUGUGAUUAUGGAGUGUGUGUGUGUGUGUGUGGUGUGUGAGGCGUGUGCUGUGAGGUGUGUAUGUGAUUAUGGAGUGUGUGUGUGUUUCCGGCCUGGGUCUGGUCAGCCUCUGGGAUACACGAGUCGGGAAGCCUCCGGCUAAGACUCGCCUGGUUCCUAGGCUGUCAUUCUGACGCCUGGUACCUCGACCACAAGCAGUGCACUUGCCACGGAGGCGGGCUGUGCGGGUGUUUUACUCAGUGCGCGUGCGUGCACACACACACACACACACACACACCACCGCCGCCAUGUGACCCUCUUCAGGAGCUCGUGUUGGGCAGCUCUCUGGCCGUGGCACCCCCUGCACGCUUUGGGCACCUGUCUGGGAGCUCUGACCUCAGGAAGAGCAGGACCUGGGUGCCUGGGUGGGGCGAGUUUCCCCUGCGCACUGACCCUGGCACAGAGUUCGCACCGAGGCCCAGCUUGGCUGGAGAGCUGGCAUCUCCCGAUGAACCUUGAAAGCCCCGAGGUCAGGGCUGGGGCGGCAGGGAUUCCCGACGAUGGGACGGGGGAAGGGCUGGGCCCACCUGGCCUCACGGGAGCAGGAGGGAGCAGUCUCCCUGCAGCUUGUCACAUUCCAGCCUCCUUUCUGGCCCGUGUGCCGUUGUGCUUCCAGUCCUGAGCCAGGACAGACGCUUCUUUGUGGCCCAGAAAUCUUUGAACCUGUAAUUGGAGCUAUCACAGCUGGUCGGCGCUGUGAGUUGGAGUUUAAAAGCAACCGACCUAAAGCGCGUUCUUCUCUUUGAACAGCAGGCUGGGAAGUACCCCGGGACCUGCCUGUUAUUCUGGGGAAGAGCCUGCGUGUGGUGGCAAUGUCUUGCACAAUGGUGGCACUUUCUCCCAGGGAUCUGGGGGCCGCUCAGGUGUGUGCACACGUGCCAUCUGACCUCGGGCUGGAGGAGGGGAUGUGGUGCCGGCAGCUAUGUUUGUUCAAAGCCAGGCUCUGCAGGCUGCCCUGGUCUUUUGGAGAUGUGAGUUCUUUUUCUGCAUUGACGGAGCCUCAAUUGGAGGCAGCCUGCUGGGGUUCAGGAAGCGGCUGUGGACACCUAGGGCACUGCUAAUUUGGGACUGACGCCCACAGUUAGGGGAGCGGCCUUGCAGUGAGCAGUGGGUCUUGUCUUUUUGUACCUUGGAUAAGGGAUGGGAAAGGCCUCUGUGUGUGGAGUUGGUGGGGGAGCGACGGGAAUGCAGCUGUAUCCGUGGGAACAGACACUUGGCCUGGAUGAAGGAAUUCUACAGCUCUUGAGGCGGGCUGAGUGUCCAGGGACAUUGAGGACACCUGAGGACCCUGACCCCCACCUCCCCCAUCCCUGUCCACCAGCUCCAUCCUCCCCGCUGACAGUCAUCACCUUCCUGCUGCCCCCACCCCUCCCCAGGCUGCGUUUUUCUCAGCCACCUUGAGGCCCUAUGGUUUUCCCCGGUUCCAGAGGGCUGGUCCCGGCUGAGUGGUGCAAGCCUCUUCCAAGGGGGUGUCAGUACUGACUGAAGCUUCUCAGGCCGCCUGUUGGGGUGCAGGGGAAGGCUGGGGGGUUCCCAGGAAGGAGGGUGGGGUUCUGAGCGUGUGCGAGCCGCGCUGCCUCUCCGGCUGCUGGGUGGCACCAAAGAUUCUGUGCUUGACCACACUGCAGUCAGGCUCCUGAACCUUCUGGGCCCGUCUGGCACAUACUUGUAAAAUCCAGGCCUAGCAAGGGCCCUGCUUAGCUUAGCACAAAUUUCUGAACCCCCCUCCUUGAUCUCCAAAUCUGGGGCCUGCAUAUCUGGACAGGUUCCUCGUCCUCCAUCCCCUCGAGAAUUUCUCUCCAGCAAGAAUCCUGUUGGGUGGGAUUGGCUAACAUCCCCCUAGCACCUGAUGUCUCUUAGUAGUGUUCCAUUUCCUGACCCCAACCCAUUCCUUGGCUGUAAAUGCCUGCUUGCCUGUCUGUGCUGCACCCAGAGCUGGGUCCAGUCUCUGUCCCCUGCUGCAGUCUUUCUCCAGUGGUCGCUACACCUACUGUGGUCCUGAUGAAGCUGCCUUGCACCGGGUGACCCACAACACUGUCCCUUAGCCCUCUAUCCCUGCCGACUGUAGCCCAGCAAGCAUCCUGCAGCCUCAGGCCUGGGGCCUUGCUGGUCCUCUCUGGAACUUGUCUGGCUCCCGAGGUCCACUGCAGUGUCAGGUUCUCUGUGAGGCCUUCCCUGGCCCCAAACUCUUCGCCCGCCUCCUCUACCCAGGUGUGAGUGGCUUCUCUUUACUCCCAGGUGGGCUGAGUUGGGCAAGUUGCCGUUGCCCUCUCCAGGCCUUGAUUUGCCACCUGUAAAUGGGGUACAAUAGUACCCACUCUGGUGUGUUGGCGGAAGGCACGGAUCAGUUAACAUAGGCAAGACGCUUUGCUAGGGCUGGCCUAUGGAAGUCUGUGUUCUGACUUGUCGUCACACAGCUGCUGGUGUUGUGUAGAGCUGGGUGGAGCCACGAGAACUCCAGACAGGGUGAGUCUUCAACACAAGGGGAGCCUUGUGGAGAUGAUCUGGUUGGCAAGAUGAGAGGCCUGUGUGGCACCGCGAGGCAUCACACGCCAGGGAGGCCGUGAGAGAACCUUCAAGUCCACUCAGGGACGGGAUGAGCCACUAUCCGACUAGACGUGGAAACAACCUCUGAUUAUGGAUAACUUGAUCCCCUGGAUGACAGUCAGCUGCGCAGGAGGAACUUCUACCCAGGCUGGUCCUUUCCCAGUGUUUCCAAGGGAUCAGAGAGAGCUUAGGAGGAGCAGGUUGGCCCCCAAGUGACCAGGACAGCGAUCCCGGGUCUGGCAUCCAUGGCAGCCAGGAGCUCCAGGGCAGGUGUGCCGUUGGCCAUGGUGGGUAGGUACACAGGAGCCUGUGCUCUCCACCUGGACCCGGGCUGUUACGGUCAGUGAGACAAGGACCUGAGGGGCCACGGGAAGAGACACAGGUGAAGUCAGGAACAGGGCUGCGCAGGCAGCUGGUGAUCCCGACCGCCGGGGCGCUGUGCAGCGACGUGUAAAUGAAGCAUCUCCUGUCCAUCUCUAUAUUCACUCAUGCUCUGCCCAGCAAGCCAUCAUUAAAGUGCGCGCGCACACACACACACACACACGAGUACGAGUGCUCCGCUGAAUAAGAAACAGGUUUCCAACAAUCUCACAUAAAACCCAUUUAUUACAAAGUGCUGGAAAUGCUGAUCAAAGCGUAACAAGCACUGUUGUAUGCACAGCCGACCUUGAGAGAAAAUGGAUGUAUGCUCAGAAACACUGAAGAGAAGACGGCCAGUCAGCUCUCUGCUACGUCCUGGGACAGCAGUGGAAGAUGGUCCAAGUCCUUGGGCCCCUGCACCCACGUGGGAAACCUGGAAGAAGCUCCUGGCUCCUGGCUUUGGAUUGGCGCAGCUCUGGCCAUUGUGGCCAUCUGGGGAGUGAACCAGUGGAUGGAAGACCUCUCUCCUCAAUCUCUCUCUCUCUGUAACUCUGUCUUUCAAAUAAAUAAAAUUAAUCUAAAAAAAAAAAAGGACUAGGAAAAAUAUCUGCCUUCCAGGAAAGAGAAAUGAAAGAUUUUGUGGUGACCUCAACAUCAGAUGGAAACCCAGUCUGAGAAUUUGUGAGUACAGAAUUGGACUUAACUUCAUGUGGUGCAAGGCUGAAAUACAAGCUGCCUGGGCAGUUUGGGAUGGAGUGGAAGUCACUGCAGGGUGACAGCCCUGGGCACUGGUGGGAGAAGGCACCAACCACCUGACUCCCAAGCCCCACGUGCAGGAGCCUGGAGCUCCAUCUCGCCUCCCCUGUGGCAGACGGACCCAGAUGCUUCAGCGGUCACCUGCUGCCUGCUUCAACAGGAAGCAGAAUCAGGAGUGCAGCUGGGACUCAAACCCAGGCACUCUGAUAUGAGAUGUGGGUAUCCCGAAUGGUGUCUGCACUGCUAGGCCAAAUGCCUGCCUGUUAUUUGUUUUAUGGCAGGUGAAAAUUGUAUAUAUAUAUAUCAUAUAGAAAAACAUGUUCUUAGUUAUAUAUACAUUGUGGAAUGGUUAAAUAAAGCUAUCUGGGGCCGGUGCUGUGGCGUAGUGGGUAAAGCCACUGCCUGCAUUGCCAGCAUCCCAUAUGGGCACCGAUUCGAGUCCCGGCUGUUGUGGGGAGCAACUCGGACUAGACUGUUACUGGAAUUAAGGCUUAUUCUAUGCAUCUGCUCUCCCACAAUAUGGCGCUGGGAGAGGAGGAAAUAGCUUCUACACAGCUGCCUCCAGUUCAACCAAUAAACAGCAGGACCUGCUCCUGAUUGGAGGAGAGCAGCGUACUCGGCGUGUGGGCAGCAGAGUUGGGAUUGGCGGAAGAGGACUACAAAGGAGGAGAGAGACAACAUGCACCAGGAACAUCUAUCUGAAGGAACACCUGUGCAGCCCCCGAGAGAGCCGGCCGGUGGUGUGCCGCUCCCCCGCGGAAGUGGGGAAAGUGGCAGGGGGAACCGCCCUUCCACGGAGGUGGAAGGGUUGGUAGCCAACCCGGGAAGAACCAGCAGAAACCCGGGAAGGGCCGAGCAGACGAAAGAACAGUGCAGGGUCCUGUGUUGUUCCUCCACGAAGAGGGGGAGCGACAGGCUGCUCCACUUCUGAUCCAGCUGUCUGCUCUGGCCUGGGAAGGUAGUGGAAGAUGGCCCAAGUGCUUGGGCCCUUGUACGUGUGUGGGAGACCCAGAGGAAGAUCCUGGCUCCUGGCUUUGGAUCAG
Oryctolagus cuniculus (rabbit) is the source of this 5847-nucleotide non-coding RNA. Lineage: Eukaryota; Metazoa; Chordata; Mammalia; Lagomorpha; Leporidae. The record is from RefSeq and is a predicted model, not a curated record.